AUUGAACGCUGGCGGCAGGCCUAACACAUGCAAGUCGAGCGGAUGAAGGGAGCUUGCUCCUGGAUUCAGCGGCGGACGGGUGAGUAAUGCCUAGGAAUCUGCCUGGUAGUGGGGGAUAACGUCCGGUAACGAGCGCUAAUACCGCAUACGUCCUGAGGGAGAAAGUGGGGGAUCUUCGGACCUCACGCUAUCAGAUGAGCCUAGGUCGGAUUAGCUAGUUGGUGGGGUAAAGGCCUACCAAGGCGACGAUCCGUAACUGGUCUGAGAGGAUGAUCAGUCACACUGGAACUGAGACACGGUCCAGACUCCUACGGGAGGCAGCAGUGGGGAAUAUUGGACAAAGGGCGAAAGCCUGAUCCAGCCAUGCCGCGUGUGUGAAGAAGGUCUUCGGAUUGUAAAGCACUUUAAGUUGGGAGGAAGGGAAGUAAGUUAAUACCUUGAUGUUUUGACGGUACCAAAAGAAAAAGCACCGGCUAACUUCGUG
Molecule: ribosomal RNA, 484 nt
Filed under: uncultured bacterium
Lineage: Bacteria
Description: partial 16S ribosomal RNA
Rfam family: Bacterial small subunit ribosomal RNA
Source: RNAcentral